Molecule: long non-coding RNA, 856 nt
Organism: Lycium ferocissimum
Lineage: Eukaryota; Viridiplantae; Streptophyta; Magnoliopsida; Solanales; Solanaceae
Exons: 2
Source: RefSeq, a predicted model, not a curated record
AGUUUAGGGUCAAAUUUGGACAUUUUACCUCAAUUUAUAGACAGAUUAGGGUUUCAUUCUUGAUUGGAACUCUGUCUGCUGAGGCUGCAACUUCUUUCUGGUCUAACUCUGCUCUGCUUCUCCUCUUUAUCAGCACAGAGCGACUGAGAGAAAUGCCAGAAAGAAUUGACCACCGAGUGAGACAAAUAUAAUGAUGAUGGUAUGAGAAUGAUGUCCCGGUGGAGGUGGGGGCGGAGUUGGAACAACAGUGUGCUGGUGGUGGAGGAUAGAAGGGGCGAGGUGGUGGCUUAAUUGGUGAUGGAGGUGGUAUUGAAUGACUUCGUGGCUUUGCUGAUGGUUGCGGACUAGGAUAGUGAUGUGGUGGUGAUGGUGUAACCAGUGGACGUGAUGGCGCGGGUGGUGUGACUGGUGGAUGUGGUGGGGCCACUUUUGGUGGUGAUGGAGUAACGGGUGGACGUGGUGGGUCCACUUUUCGAGGGGAAGGAGGUGUAUUAGAUUGGUGUGGCGGUGACACAGUUGGAAGAAAUGGAUAGUUAUGAGGUGGGAAUGGAGGGAAAUAGGGGAAGUUGAAAUUUUGAGUGUUAGCCAUUGCAAUGGAAGUUUUUUGCUUUGCUAAAAGCUUGUACUGAGUAAGCUUUGUGUAAGAUGAUGCUUAUUGUUAGUGUUUUGUAUAUAUAUUAGAUGUUAGCAUGAUAAUAUGUAAGGUUCUUAUGACUCGACUCUCGGGCUAAGUUUUGCCAAGUUGUCCUUGGUUGCAUUCCAAAAUACUCAUUUCUUCAUUUUUCUCAGGCAGGUCAUGCUGAUCACAGGUUCAUGCCAUAAUCAUACCUCUGAACUGAAACACAAUUUUCUGUUA